This is a non-coding RNA of Salmo salar (Atlantic salmon), 676 nucleotides long. The record is from RefSeq and is a predicted model, not a curated record. NCBI's taxonomy places the organism in Eukaryota, Metazoa, Chordata, Actinopteri, Salmoniformes, Salmonidae.
GAUAGGCAAUGCUUGGUUUUUAAAGUAAUAGUUUUUUGUUUCUAAAUAUGAAAAUUCACAAGCAAAAAAGCACAUCUCUCAAUCCUUGAUACACUGCUUCCGCUCUCAAAGUCCAUGCCAUUAUCAACUGCGUUACCUUUAAGACCUGCUUUUUGUGGGUCUUACAUUUUCCCAUUAGCGUGUGGGUCGUAUAUUUUCCAAUUAGCGCUGCAUGAAACUCACUUUUGUGCUUGUUUUUAAGGACACCUCAAAUAUUGCCACCCCUCCCACCUCAGCACAAGCGAGCUGAUGUUAGACAGCGGUAGAACCAAGGAAAGGACUUCCCUCCCAAACCUCGGAGAGCCAACGAAGGGGCAUACUGGUGCCUGAAACGUGUUACAUGGACGCCACCCAGACCCAACAGGAUAGCAGCCAGGGUCAUGAAGGUGCUGUGGUAGUGGAGACUUGUUGCCUGGAUCUCCCUGAUGAUCCAAUGCCUAACCCCCAGAGGCGGGGCCCUUUCCUGGGCCGACUCGGCACCACCACAGAAAAUGUCUCCCCAUCCCUCCCCGGCCUGAAGCUCAGUCCUGCUAACGGCCUGCAGUACCACUUGAAGGGGAUAGCGGAACGCCUCACCAAUAUCCAAUGGUAUAGAGUGGUGUGAAUUACAAAUACCUCAAAAAUGCAAAAACUUCAA